GAUGAAGAACGCAGCGAAAUGCGAUACUUGGUGUGAAUUGCAGAAUCCCGUGAACCAUCGAGUCUUUGAACGCAAGUUGCGCCUCAAGCCAUUAGGUUGAGGGCACGUCUGCCUGGGCGUCACAUAUCGUUGCCUGAUGCCAGUUUCCUCGUGAUGGGUGACUGUGCAGGGCGACUGAUGGCUUCCCGUGAGCAUUGUUGCCUCAUGGUUGGUUGAAAAUUGAGUCCUUGGUAGGGAGCGCCGUGAUAGAUGGUGGUUGAGUGACGAACGAGACCCAAUCAUGUGAGACCCCUACCGAAUUUGGCCUUCAUGACCCACAUGCGUCUUUGGAACGCUCAUGACGAGACCUCAGGUCAGGCGGGGCUACCCGCUGAGUUUAAGCAUAUCAAUAUGCGGAGGA
This 400-nucleotide unclassified non-coding RNA is filed under the name soil metagenome. Its description in RNAcentral is "partial contains 5.8S ribosomal RNA, internal transcribed spacer 2, and large subunit ribosomal RNA". The stretch from base 1 to 122 matches the Rfam family "5.8S ribosomal RNA", at positions 35 to 154 of the family's 154-position model. The record is from RNAcentral.